GAUGAACGCUGACAGAAUGCUUAAUACAUGCAAGUCAACUUGAACUUCGGUUUGGGUGGCGGACGGGUGAGUAACGCGUAAAGAACUUGCCUCACAGAUAGGGACAACAUUUGGAAACGAAUGCUAAUACCUGAUAUUAUGAUUAUAUGGCAUCGUAUAAUUAUGAAAGCUAUAUGGGCUGUGAGAGAGCUUUGCGUCUCAUUAGCUAGUUGGAGAGGUAACGGCUCACCAAGGCGAUGAUGGGUAGCCGGCCUGAGAGGGUGAUCGGCCACAAGGGGACAGAGACACGGCCCGUACUCCUACGGGAAGCAGGAGUGGGGAAUAUUGGACAAUGGACCAGGAGUCUGAUGCAGCAAUUCUGUGUGCACGAUGAAGUUUUUCGGAAUGAAAAGUGCUUUCAGUUAAGAAGAAAAAAAUGACGGUACCAACAGAAGAAGUGACGGCUAAAUACGUG
RNAcentral lists this ribosomal RNA (454 nucleotides) under uncultured bacterium. Its description in RNAcentral is "partial 16S ribosomal RNA". It matches the Rfam family "Bacterial small subunit ribosomal RNA", at positions 28 to 507 of the family's 1533-position model. The record is from RNAcentral.